GCCACUCCUCCCCUGCAGGUUGAUGAGGAUGAAGGACAAGCCGUACCUUUCACUUAGCYGCUGCCUUUGAAAGGGGAAAUGCACGGUCCUGUAUAUGGAGUCAUCAUGAGGCAGCUCUGAUGAGCAUGUUGUUCACUCACCAUUGAGACAAUGGCAGUCCUGCUAAGUUUGUGACGAUUUGGGGGAUGAAACAAACAUCUGGCAAAUGAAAGAGCUAUGAUGAGGAYGAAGCAAACUCAGGAAGCACAAAAGCUGGGAAACGUUAGUGUUUGGGCAAAAACGCAUUUUAAAAGUGCCCCAGUCUGAAAAGUCACUGGAAAAAAAAUGGUAUUCUGGGCUUUGARUCACAUGGACCUAGUUGGUAAGUAAAAAGAUAUUUCUUCUAACUGCAAGCUUUGCAAAA
RNAcentral lists this long non-coding RNA (403 nucleotides) under Dromaius novaehollandiae (emu). RNAcentral's name for it is "lncRNA (ENSDNVG00000016747.1)". The record is from RNAcentral. Lineage: Eukaryota; Metazoa; Chordata; Aves; Casuariiformes; Dromaiidae.